This 925-nucleotide ribosomal RNA is filed under the name Pulchrocladia retipora. RNAcentral's name for it is "LSU rRNA". It matches the Rfam family "Eukaryotic large subunit ribosomal RNA", at positions 1 to 941 of the family's 3401-position model. The record is from RNAcentral. Lineage: Eukaryota; Fungi; Ascomycota; Lecanoromycetes; Lecanorales; Cladoniaceae.
GAUUGACCUCGGAUCAGGUAGGGAUACCCGCUGAACUUAAGCAUAUCAAUAAGCGGAGGAAAAGAAACCAACAGGGAUUGCCUCAGUAACGGCGAGUGAAGCGGCAACAGCUCAAAUUUGAAAUCUGGUCCUUUCAGGCCCCGAGUUGUAAUUUGUAGAGGAUGUUUCGGGCGCGGCGCGGGUCUAAGUCCUUUGGAACAGGGCGUCAGAGAGGGUGAGAAUCCCGUAUGCGACCCGCGACCAAGCCCAUGUGAAACCCCUUCGACGAGUCGAGUUGUUUGGGAAUGCAGCUCAAAAUGGGUGGUAAAUUUCAUCUAAAGCUAAAUACCGGCCAGAGACCGAUAGCGCACAAGUAGAGUGAUCGAAAGAUGAAAAGCACUUUGGAAAGAGAGUCAAAAAGUACGUGAAAUUGUUGAAAGGGAAGCGCUUGCAACCAGACCUGCCCGCGGGCGAUCAACCUCCGUUCUCGGGGGUGCACUCGCCCGCGAUCAGGCCAGCAUCGGUUCGGGCGGUCGGAUAAAGGCCUUGGGAAUGUAGCUCCUUCCGGGGAGUCUUAUAGCCCUCGGUGCAAUGCGGCCAGCCCGGACCGAGGACCGCGCUUCGGCUAGGAUGCUGGCGUAAUGGUUGUAAGCGACCCGUCUUGAAACACGGACCAAGGAGUCUAACAUCUAUGCAAGUGUUUGGGUGUCAAACCCAUACGCGUAAUGAAAGUGAACGGAGGUGAGAACCCUUAAGGGCGCAUCAUCGACCGAUCCAGAUGUCUUCGGAUGGAUUUGAGUACGAGCAUAGCUGUUGGGACCCGAAAGAUGGUGAACUAUGCGUGAAUAGGGUGAAGCCAGAGGAAACUCUGGUGGAGGCUCGCAGCGGUUCUGACGUGCAAAUCGAUCGUCAAAUUUGCGUAUAGGGGCGAAAGACUAAUCGAACC